UUCCGUAGGUGAACCUGCGGAAGGAUCAUUAAAAAAUUCUGCCAUUGUUUGGUGGAAACAAUAAUCAUCCUACCUUUGUGAAUUUGUUGUUGUAGUAAUUUUUAAAGAAAAUUAUUUACUGUCAUUCCUGGAUAGUAAAGUGGAAGGAGUAAUCUAGAAAACUUUGCUUUCAGGGAAUAGUAUGUAAUAAUUUUUCAUUUAAAGACCUUUUUUAAAUAAACUUUGUAUUCAUUGUCUAAAAUUUAUUUUUAAAUAAUUUAAAAACACUUUUGACAAUGGAUCUCUGGUUCUCGCAACGAUGAAGAACGCAGCAAAUGCGAUAAGUAGUGUGAAUUGCAGAAUACGUGAAUCAUCAAAUCUUCGAACGCAUAUUGCACUUUUUAGUUACUAAAAAGUAUGUCUGUUUGAGUAUCAGUAAAUAUUCUCAAUAACUUUUUGUUUAUUGGUUAUGAGUGUUUUACAACGAUACAAGUUGUUCACUUUAAAUUGACUUAUAUAACCUAUCCAUUAGGUCAAUUUUAAAUUGGAUAAAAUUUCCUGCAAAAGGAAUAACUUGACAGUUUAAAGAAAGAUCUAAAAGGUUUUCUUAAAAGAAAUUUAUAAUAAACUACUGAUCUCAAUCAGAUAAGAGUACCGCUGAACUUAAGCAUAUCAUAAGCGGAGGAAAAGAAACUAACAAGGAUUCCCUAGUAACGGCGAGUGAAGCGGGAGAGCUCAAAUUUGAAAUCUCAAGGUUUCCCUUGACGAAUUGUAGUUUAUAGAAGUGUUUUCUGUAGAGAGUGGUAAAGUCUUUGGAAUAGGACAUCAUAGAGGUGAAAUCCCGUAUUGAUCACUUUCUACUACGUUGUGAUACACUUUCAACGAGUCGGAUGUUUGGGAAUGCAGUCCAAAAUGGGUGGUAAAUUUCAUCUAAAGCUAAAUAUUGGCGAGAGACCGAUAGCGAACAAGUACCGUGAGGAAAGAUGAAAAGAACUUUGAAAAGAGAGUUAAACAGUACGUGAAUGUCAAAGGGAAGCGUUUGACACCAGUGUUGUUUUUCCGAAAAUCAAUUACGAAUGCGGGAUUCAAGUUCAUGACCUUAAAAGCUGUUUCUUUCUUUCCUGUCUUCUUAAUGCACUUUCGGUUAACAAGUCAACAUCAAUUCUUUGUUGCAAAGGUUAAGAGGAAGGUGGCUUUACUUUCGGUAAAGUGUUUAUAGCCUUUUAACUCUGCAAUCGAGAGAUUGAGGUCUGCAGCGUAGAUCCUCGGGCUAGAUACGUUGUGCUAGUUAUAGCUUUUCAUAGACACUUGUUGACUAUGUUAGUCUUGUAGCUUACUCGCAAUACUAUU
RNAcentral lists this unclassified non-coding RNA (1329 nucleotides) under uncultured Neocallimastigales. RNAcentral describes it as "partial contains small subunit ribosomal RNA, internal transcribed spacer 1, 5.8S ribosomal RNA, internal transcribed spacer 2, and large subunit ribosomal RNA". The stretch from base 612 to 1329 matches the Rfam family "Eukaryotic large subunit ribosomal RNA", at positions 1 to 632 of the family's 3401-position model. The record is from RNAcentral. Lineage: Eukaryota; Fungi; Neocallimastigomycota; Neocallimastigomycetes; Neocallimastigales.